This 366-nucleotide unclassified non-coding RNA is filed under the name Hevea brasiliensis (rubber tree). Lineage: Eukaryota; Viridiplantae; Streptophyta; Magnoliopsida; Malpighiales; Euphorbiaceae. The record is from RNAcentral.
UUUUAAUUAUUUUUUAACACUCUUUAACUAGUAUAUAUAAAAAAGUGAUUUUCUCGAUAGUAGUUUCAACAAUAAUACUAAAUAGGUCCAUACUCUUAUAUGCGAUCAAUAUUCUUGGGAGCUGUGAAUGAAACAAAGUCUCUAGACUCUAUGCAUCUCAUUAACUUUUCCACUUAAUCCAAUGCAGUCUUUAGAGCAUAAUUGUCAAUUAUUUGAGACGCACAGGUCUCCUAUUUACUCUCUUUGAAUUUAUUCAUUCCUACCUAUCAUUGCACAAUCUCAUUCAUGAUACAUACCCUCAUAUGCAUAUCUUUUCAGAUAAAUGCCUUUGAUCAAAUGAAGUCUAUGAUUUACGUAGAUAAUUAG